AUUCAAUUGAAUUCUUUUACUUGCAAAUGAUUUAUUCCGCCUAUAACACAUUUCCAGUAGAAAAUUUAGGCAUUAACAAAAGCAUCUUAUUUCAGAGCCAUGGCAGGUCUACACCCCAAUUAAAGUUAGCUCCAUCGACUAACAAUUUCUUGGACACAUUAAUUAUAACAUGAUCAUGCAAUUAAAUGGUACAUAGUAUAUAUUUGGCAUUACUUGUUCAUUAUGUUCCAAAUACAGCAUUCAAAUUUCAUAGUCUAGCAAUGCUUAAUCAUACAGAUUUCAGCGUAAGCCAACCGGCCGGCCAAAUUAAG
This 311-nucleotide unclassified non-coding RNA is filed under the name Hevea brasiliensis (rubber tree). Lineage: Eukaryota; Viridiplantae; Streptophyta; Magnoliopsida; Malpighiales; Euphorbiaceae. The record is from RNAcentral.